This is a long non-coding RNA of Solea senegalensis (Senegalese sole), 277 nucleotides long. RefSeq lists it as uncharacterized. Lineage: Eukaryota; Metazoa; Chordata; Actinopteri; Pleuronectiformes; Soleidae. The record is from RefSeq and is a predicted model, not a curated record. The transcript has 3 exons.
GGGAGGUUCUCCUUUAGUGCAGCUGUGUGUGUGUGUGUGUGUGUGUGUGUUUAAGAGAGAGGAGGGGGACACACUCCACCAGACAAACUUCAGAUGCUUCCUGGUCAACGAGUGUCCUAAAAAACAAACUGGCGUCAGGUCGGACACUUGACUCCAUGCGUCUUCUUUCAGCGUCCGAGGACAGUGCUACUGACAGAGGUACAACUUGUACAGAAACUAAAAUGCUGCAGCUCCAGUUUGGAUCCUCGCGUUGACUGAUUGGCUGAACACCACACAG